This 104-nucleotide small nuclear RNA is filed under the name Sus scrofa (pig). Lineage: Eukaryota; Metazoa; Chordata; Mammalia; Artiodactyla; Suidae. The record is from RNAcentral.
GUGCCCGCUUCAGCAGCACAUAUACUAAAAUUGGAAGGAUACAGGAAGAUUAGAAGGUCCCUGAGCAAGGAUAACAUGCAGUUUGGGAAAUGUUCUGUAUUUUU